UACGUAGGGUGCAAGCGUUAAUCGGAAUUACUGGGCGUAAAGCGUGCGCAGGCGGCUUUGCAAGACAGAUGUGAAAUCCCCGGGCUUAACCUGGGAACUGCAUUUGUGACUGCAUGGCUGGAGUGCGGCAGAGGGGGAUGGAAUUCCGCGUGUAGCAGUGAAAUGCGUAGAUAUGCGGAGGAACACCGAUGGCGAAGGCAAUCCCCGGGGCCUGCACUGACGCUCAUGCACGAAAGCGUGGGGAGCAAACAGG
This 253-nucleotide ribosomal RNA is filed under the name uncultured bacterium. RNAcentral's name for it is "partial 16S ribosomal RNA". It matches the Rfam family "Bacterial small subunit ribosomal RNA", at positions 524 to 776 of the family's 1533-position model. The record is from RNAcentral.